This 385-nucleotide long non-coding RNA is filed under the name Androctonus crassicauda. Lineage: Eukaryota; Metazoa; Arthropoda; Arachnida; Scorpiones; Buthidae. The record is from RNAcentral.
UAAUGUUCUGUCAAUUAAGCUUUAUCUUAAUCGAUCCUAAAUUAAUGUUUUAGAGAAAUAUAUAUAUAUAUAUUUAUUUAUUUAACGUUUAAUAGAUUAAAUGGCGACAUCGAGAUCAAAGAUAUCCAAAAAAAUCUUGAACAGCCAAUCGCGAGAGAUUAUACCAAAUAUCCGAGAAUAUUUUGAAAAAGAAGCUAAUUUUGGGAUACAAAUUCCACUAACACAUAUCACAAAAAGAGUAACAGCUGCAACAAAAGUAUCAGAAAGGAGUGUUAGAAGGAUUGCAAAUGAAAAAACAAAAGUCAGUUGUGGUGAAUCACAUUCUUUUUCAACCCCUUGUAAAAGUAAACGACGAAAAUGUCCUGCGACAGGUAUUGACAGUUUC